GGAUAUGAGGGUGAGCUGGCUGCAGCAUCUGUUACCCCAUUGGUNNCCAGGGUUGAUUUAGCUGAUCUGACUGGCUAGGCUGGUGUCCCCUUCCUCACCAUUCUGUGUUUGGCUCUCCAGAAGCUGCAUGUUCAGUUUAAGAGGAUGNCCUUCCCCAAAUAGAGAAGGUGAGAUGGUCAAUUAAGGGUAUACAAUCGCUGCANUCCCCUGUCAGAACUUUCAGGCGAGCUCUCAAAGGCUUGUUAGUGAGGGUCCCCUGAGUGAAAUCUUUUAGAAGAUUUAUUUUGUUUAGUUUGUGCAUGUGUUUUCCUGCAUGUAUGU
RNAcentral lists this small nuclear RNA (321 nucleotides) under Neotoma lepida (desert woodrat). RNAcentral describes it as "7SK RNA". It matches the Rfam family "7SK RNA". From Rfam's summary of the family: 7SK was discovered as an abundant small nuclear RNA in the mid-70s but a possible function has only recently been suggested. Two independent studies have found that 7SK RNA binds the CDK9/cyclin T complex (known as elongation factor P-TEFb). P-TEFb activates transcription by phosphorylating the C-terminal domain of RNA polymerase II. The record is from Rfam by way of RNAcentral. Lineage: Eukaryota; Metazoa; Chordata; Mammalia; Rodentia; Cricetidae.